UGGGGAAUAUUGCACAAUGGGGGAAACCCUGAUGCAGCGACGCCGCGUGAAUUAGAAGGCCUUCGGGUUGUAAAAAUCUUUUCUAUGGGAAGAAAAUGACAGUACCAUAGGAAUAAGGACCGGCUAAUUACGUGCCAGCAGGCGCGGUAAUACGUAAGGUCCGAGCGUUGUCCGGAAUCAUUGGGCGUAAAGGGUACGUAGGCGGGUAAGCAAGUUAGAAGUGAAAUCCUGUAGCUCAACUACAGUAAGCUUUUAAAACGGCUCAUCUUCAGAUAUGGAAGGGAGAGUGGAAUUCCUAGUGUAGCGGUGAGAUGAGCAGAUAUUAGGAGGAAUACCGGUGGCGAAGGCGACUUUCUGGCCAUAAUCUGACGCUGAGGUACGAAAGCGUGGGUAGCAAACAGG
This 402-nucleotide ribosomal RNA is filed under the name Verrucomicrobiota bacterium. RNAcentral's name for it is "Verrucomicrobia bacterium partial 16S ribosomal RNA". It matches the Rfam family "Bacterial small subunit ribosomal RNA", at positions 355 to 776 of the family's 1533-position model. The record is from RNAcentral. Lineage: Bacteria; Pseudomonadati; Verrucomicrobiota.